This 500-nucleotide ribosomal RNA is filed under the name uncultured bacterium. RNAcentral's name for it is "bacterial SSU rRNA". It matches the Rfam family "Bacterial small subunit ribosomal RNA", at positions 774 to 1258 of the family's 1533-position model. The record is from RNAcentral.
AGUGAAUAGAUACCCUGGUAGUCCUGGCCCUAAACGAUGAAUGCUUGGUGUGGCGGGUAUCGAUCCCUGCCGUGCCGAAAGCUAACGCAUUAAGCAUUCCGCCUGGGGAGUACGGUCGCAAGGCUGAAACUCAAAGGAAAUUGACGGGGGCCCGGCCACAAGCGGUGGAGCAUGUGGUUUAAUUUCGACGCAACGCGAAGAGCCUUACCCCACGGCUUGAACUGCAGAUGACAUCCUACGAAAGUAGGCUUCCGCAAGGACAUCUGUAGAGGUGCUGCAUGGCUGUCGUCAGCUCGUGUCGUGAGAUGUUUGGGUUUAAGUCCCGCAACGAGCGCAACCCCUUGUCUUCUGUUGCCAUCGGGGUUUAUGCCGGGGCACUCUGAAGAGACUGCCGGUGACAAACCGGGAGGAAGGUGGGGAUGACGUCAAGUCAGCAUGGCCUUUUAUGUCUGGGGCCACACACGUGCUACAAUGGCAGGUACAAACCGUCGCGAGACCGC